This 496-nucleotide ribosomal RNA is filed under the name uncultured bacterium. Its description in RNAcentral is "partial 16S ribosomal RNA". It matches the Rfam family "Bacterial small subunit ribosomal RNA", at positions 28 to 506 of the family's 1533-position model. The record is from RNAcentral.
GAUGAACGCUGGCGGCGUGCCUAAUACAUGCAAGUCGAGCGAACAGACGAGGAGCUUGCUCCUCUGACGUUAGCGGCGGACGGGUGAGUAACACGUGGAUAACCUACCUAUAAGACUGGGAUAACUUCGGGAAACCGGAGCUAAUACCGGAUAAUAUAUUGAACCGCAUGGUUCAAUAGUGAAAGACGGUUUUGCUGUCACUUAUAGAUGGAUCCGCGCCGCAUUAGCUAGUUGGUAAGGUAACGGCUUACCAAGGCAACGAUGCGUAGCCGACCUGAGAGGGUGAUCGGCCACACUGGAACUGAGACACGGUCCAGACUCCUACGGGGGGCAGCAGUAGGGAAUCUUCCGCAAUGGGCGAAAGCCUGACGGAGCAACGCCGCGUGAGUGAGGAAGGUCUUCGGAUCGUAAAACUCUGUUAUUAGGGAAGAACAAAUGUGUAAGUAACUAUGCACGUCUGGACGGUACCUAAUCAGAAAGCCACGGCUAACUACGU